RNAcentral lists this ribosomal RNA (333 nucleotides) under Laparocerus buccatrix. RNAcentral describes it as "partial 12S ribosomal RNA". Lineage: Eukaryota; Metazoa; Arthropoda; Insecta; Coleoptera; Curculionidae. The record is from RNAcentral.
GAUACCCUAUUAUUUUAAAAGUAAUCAAUAAAAUCUAAUUAGUAAUAGUUAAGUUCUUGAAAAUUAAAGAAUUUGGCGGUAUUUUAGUCUAUUCAGAGGAAUCUGUCCUAUAAUUGAUAAUCCACGAUUUUUUAUACCUAGUUUAUUAAUUUACAUAUCGCCGUAGUUUGAAUAUUUUUUGAAAAUUAUAAUAUUCAUAAUUUAUUUUGAUAGAAAAAAUCAGGUCAAGGUGUAGUUUAUAACUAGGAAGAGAUGGGUUACGAUAAAUAUAUUUAUUAUGGAUUAAUUAAUUAAAUUUUUUUAUGAAGGUGGAUUUGAAAGUAAUUUUAUUUA